RNAcentral lists this small RNA (193 nucleotides) under Novosphingobium fluoreni. RNAcentral's name for it is "Manganese Mn2+ riboswitch aptamer (yybP-ykoY)". It matches the Rfam family "Manganese Mn2+ riboswitch aptamer (yybP-ykoY)". Rfam says of the family: This RNA was originally discovered in E. coli during a large scale screen and was named SraF. The family was later found to exist upstream of related families of protein genes in many bacteria, including the the yybP and ykoK genes in B. subtilis. The specific functions of these proteins are unknown, but this structured RNA element may be involved in their genetic regulation as a riboswitch. The record is from Rfam by way of RNAcentral. RNAcentral also lists the same sequence under 1 other name. Lineage: Bacteria; Pseudomonadati; Pseudomonadota; Alphaproteobacteria; Sphingomonadales; Sphingomonadaceae.
UAACCCGUCAUUGGGGAGUAGCCAGCCGCGCGUGCGCGGACCCUGCGUCAACACACUUGGUCGAGAGGCCAUGGCGUAGGGAGGGUGGCAGGAUCGCAACGAUCCGGCAUCUUGGGCGAGACCAAUGGCAUGGUGCCUUCUGCCGGCCGGGCGGGGGGUGCGAUGCCAUUGCCUGUCUCUGUCGCCCGGCCCU